Molecule: ribosomal RNA, 496 nt
Filed under: uncultured bacterium
Lineage: Bacteria
Description: partial 16S ribosomal RNA
Rfam family: Bacterial small subunit ribosomal RNA
Source: RNAcentral
GAUGAACGCUGGCGGCGUGCCUAAUACAUGCAAGUCGAGCGAACAGACGAGGAGCUUGCUCCUUUGACGUUAGCGGCGGACGGGUGAGUAACACGUGGAUAACCUACCUAUAAGACUGGGAUAACUUCGGGAAACCGGAGCUAAUACCGGAUAACAUGUUGAACCGCAUGGUUCAACAGUGAAAGACGGUCUUGCUGUCACUUAUAGAUGGAUCCGCGCCGCAUUAGCUAGUUGGUAAGGUAACGGCUUACCAAGGCAACGAUGCGUAGCCGACCUGAGAGGGUGAUCGGCCACACUGGAACUGAGACACGGUCCAGACUCCUACGGGAGGCAGCAGUAGGGAAUCUUCCGCAAUGGGCGAAAGCCUGACGGAGCAACGCCGCGUGAGUGAAGAAGGUCUUCGGAUCGUAAAACUCUGUUAUUAGGGAAGAACAAAUGUGUAAGUAACUAUGCACGUCUGGACGGUACCUAAGCAGAAAGCCACGGCUAACUACGU